Molecule: ribosomal RNA, 301 nt
Filed under: uncultured bacterium
Lineage: Bacteria
Description: partial 16S ribosomal RNA
Rfam family: Bacterial small subunit ribosomal RNA
Source: RNAcentral
CAGCCCGCGGUAAUACAGAGGGUGCGAGCGUUAAUCGGAUUUACUGGGCGUAAAGCGUGCGUAGGCGGCUUCUUAAGUCGGAUGUGAAAUCCCUGAGCUUAACUUAGGAAUUGCAUUCGAUACUGGGAAGCUAGAGUAUGGGAGAGGAUGGUAGAAUUCCAGGUGUAGCGGUGAAAUGCGUAGAGAUCUGGAGGAAUACCGAUGGCGAAGGCAGCCAUCUGGCCUAAUACUGACGCUGAGGUACGAAAGCAUGGGGAGCAAACAGGAUAAGAUACCCCCGUAGUCCCUGUCUCUUAUACAC